RNAcentral lists this ribosomal RNA (449 nucleotides) under uncultured bacterium. Its description in RNAcentral is "bacterial SSU rRNA". It matches the Rfam family "Bacterial small subunit ribosomal RNA", at positions 355 to 825 of the family's 1533-position model. The record is from RNAcentral.
UCAAGAAACUUCCACAAUGGGCGAAAGCCUGAUGGAGCGACGUCGCGUGAUGGACGAAGUGCUUCGGCACGUAAACAUCUUUUAUGUGGGAUGAAAUUAUUGACAGUACCACAUGAAUAAGGGGCUCCUAACUCUGUGCCAGCAGGAGCGGUAAUACAGAGGCCCCAAGCGUUAUCCGGAAUCACUGGGCGUAAAGGGUGUCGAGGCGGUUGUAUUAGUCGUUCGUAAAAUCUACGAGCUUAACUUGUAGGCGGCGAACGAAACGGUACGACUUGAGGUUUGGAGAGGUGCGUGGAACUCACGGUGUAGGGGUGAAAUCCGUUGAUAUCGUGGGGAACACCAAAGGCGAAGGCAGCGCACUGGCCAAAAUCUGACGCUCACACACGAAAGCUAGGGUAGCGAAGAGGAUUAGAUACCCAGUAGUCCCUGAGCGGGCUGGCAAGGCGCAU